CCUACGGGAGGCAGCAGUGAGGAAUAUUGGUCAAUGGUCGGAAGCCUGAACCAGCCAAGCCGCGUGAGGGAUGAAGGUCCAGAGUAUUGUAAACCUCUUUUGUCAGGGAACAAAGGCGGGUACGUGUCCCCGGAUGAGUGUACCUUACGAAAAAGGAUCGGCUAACUCCGUGCCAGCAGCCGCGGUAAUACGGAGGGUGCGGGCGUUAUCCGGAUUUAUUGGGUUUAAAGGGUGCGCCGGCGGGCUGUUAAGUCAGCGGUAAAAGCCCGGGGCUCAACCCCGGCCCGCCGUUGAAACUGGCAGGCUCGAGUGGGAGAGAAGUAUGCGGAAUGCGUGGUGUAGCGGUGAAAUGCAUAGAUAUCGCGCAGAACUCCGAUUGCGAAGGCAGCAUGCCGGAUCCACACUGACGCUGAGGCACGAAAGCGUGGGUAUCGAACAGGAUUAGAUACCCUAGUAGUC
RNAcentral lists this ribosomal RNA (459 nucleotides) under uncultured bacterium. RNAcentral describes it as "partial 16S ribosomal RNA". It matches the Rfam family "Bacterial small subunit ribosomal RNA", at positions 338 to 795 of the family's 1533-position model. The record is from RNAcentral.